CUAACGUCCGUCGUGAAGAGGGAAACAACCCAGACCGCCAGCUAAGGUCCCAAAGUCAUGGUUAAGUGGGAAACGAUGUGGGAAGGCCCAGACAGCCAGGAUGUUGGCUUAGAAGCAGCCAUCAUUUAAAGAAAGCGUAAUAGCUCACUGGUCGAGUCGGCCUGCGCGGAAGAUGUAACGGGGCUAAACCAUGCACCGAAGCUGCGGCAGCGACGCUUAUGCGUUGUUGGGUAGGGGAGCGUUCUGUAAGCCUGUGAAGGUGUGCUGUGAGGUAUGCUGGAGGUAUCAGAAGUGCGAAUGCUGACAUAAGUAACGAUAAAGCGGGUGAAAAGCCCGCUCGCCGGAAGACCAAGGGUUCCUGUCCAACGUUAAUCGGGGCAGGGUGAGUCGACCCCUAAGGCGAGGCCGAAAGGCGUAGUCGAUGGGAAACAGGUUAAUAUUCCUGUACUUGGUGUUACUGCGAAGGGGGGACGGAGAAGGCUAUGUUGGCCGGGCGACGGUUGUCCCGGUUUAAGCGUGUAGGCUGGUUUUCCAGGCAAAUCCGGAAAAUCAAGGCCGAGGCGUGAUGACGAGGCACUACGGUGCUGAAGCAACAAAUGCCCUGCUUCCAGGAAAAGCCUCUAAGCAUCAGGUAACAUCAAAUCGUA
This 647-nucleotide ribosomal RNA is filed under the name Shigella flexneri. RNAcentral's name for it is "partial 23S ribosomal RNA". It matches the Rfam family "Bacterial large subunit ribosomal RNA", at positions 998 to 1646 of the family's 2925-position model. The record is from RNAcentral. Lineage: Bacteria; Pseudomonadati; Pseudomonadota; Gammaproteobacteria; Enterobacterales; Enterobacteriaceae.